GUGGGGAAUUUUGGACAAUGGGCGCAAGCCUGAUCCAGCAAUGCCGCGUGCAGGAAGAAGGCCUUCGGGUUGUAAACUGCUUUUGUACGGAACGAAACGGUCCUGGUUAAUACCUGGGGCUAAUGACGGUACCGUAAGAAUAAGCACCGGCUAACUACGUGCCAGCAGCCGCGGUAAUACGUAGGGUGCGAGCGUUAAUCGGAAUUACUGGGCGUAAAGCGUGCGCAGGCGGUGCUGUAAGACAGGCGUGAAAUCCCCGGGCUCAACCUGGGAAUUGCGCUUGUGACUGCAGUGCUGGAGUACGGCAGAGGGGGAUGGAAUUCCGCGUGUAGCAGUGAAAUGCGUAGAUAUGCGGAGGAACACCGAUGGCGAAGGCAAUCCCCUGGGCCUGCACUGACGCUCAUGCACGAAAGCGUGGGGAGCAAACAGGAUUAGAUACCCCAGUAGUCC
Molecule: ribosomal RNA, 450 nt
Filed under: uncultured bacterium
Lineage: Bacteria
Description: partial 16S ribosomal RNA
Rfam family: Bacterial small subunit ribosomal RNA
Source: RNAcentral